CAGCAGCCGCCGCGGUAAUACGGAGGGUGCAAGCGUUAAUCGGAAUUACUGGGCGUAAAGCGCACGCAGGCGGUCUGACAAGUCAGAUGUGAAAUCCCCGGGCUUAACCUGGGAACUGCAUUUGAAACUGUCAGGCUGGAGUCUUGUAGAGGGGGGUGGAAUUCCAGGUGUAGCGGUGAAAUGCGUAGAGAUCUGGAGGAAUACCGGUGGCGAAGGCGGCCCCCUGGACAAAGACUGACGCUCAGGUGCGAAAGCGUGGGGAGCAAACAGGAUUAGAUACCCCUGUAGUCCCUGUCUCUUAUAC
RNAcentral lists this ribosomal RNA (304 nucleotides) under uncultured bacterium. RNAcentral's name for it is "partial 16S ribosomal RNA". It matches the Rfam family "Bacterial small subunit ribosomal RNA", at positions 506 to 807 of the family's 1533-position model. The record is from RNAcentral.